This 2975-nucleotide long non-coding RNA is filed under the name Triticum aestivum (bread wheat). RNAcentral's name for it is "long non-coding RNA (TAES_LNC011666)". The record is from RNAcentral. Lineage: Eukaryota; Viridiplantae; Streptophyta; Magnoliopsida; Poales; Poaceae.
CGGAUCAUGUGGAUUUGAACUGUUUCUUCAAAGUUUGCCGUCGGAUCAGGUGUGCGAGGCCUGUUUCUUCAAACUUUGCCCCCCGUGCCGGCGCGGCUGCCAGCGAGACACGGGUGCCGGCGAGGCUUCCAGCGAUCCACGGGUGCCGGCGCGGCUGCGAGCGAGACACGGGUCCCGGCGCGGCUGCGAGCGAGACACAGGUUAGUAACCUGUACACAGUUCGCUUCUGGUUAAACUAAUGCGGGAAGAGACUGGGUUAACUAUACAACUGUUCGAUUGGUGGUGUGACAUAGCCCCAACUGUUCGUCCGAUUCGUACAUGAUCCUGACUGUUCUUGUGUGCUAGCGAGGCAUAUACCUGUUCAAAGUAUUAGAUUAAACUGCUUUAAGUAUACAACCAAUGCAUAGCAAGGCUUGACAUAUGUAUACAUUCAAACCUUUUGAAAACUUACUGCUUCUCGAGAGGUAUCCUAACCCCGGCUAUAAUUUUUCUGACGUUCUACCGAAGUAACCUGUACCAAGAACAUGGCUAAGGAGGAUAAUUUGAUAUAUACAUGAUUUCUAUUCAACAAGCAACGCUAUCAGAAUAAAUGCAGCACGAAUAUGAUUGUGCGGUUUCAGAUUAGCUCCAUAGUGUUCCUUUUUUUAAUUAUCAAGAGCUUGUUGAAAUAACUGUGGUACAUAAUAUAUGGAAUCCAGUAUGCACUUAUAUGCACUUAGUUGACUAUCUUUAGUUUCUAUAUAUACUGAUGGAACUAUCUUCAGUUUGUAUAUAUACUUGUCACAAAUCAGUACUUGGCACAAACCUAUCUCGGUGGCGUAUGAGAAACAAGAUUUGUGUCCGAGAAAAAAAUACUACAAAUGGAGGAUGAGAUGAUGCUGCCAGGCCAAAGCAACAUUUUCAUGUUGUCCCCUGACUCUAUGCUUUUCUGUGUGGUUUCAUCUACUCUCCUUUUUAUUUAUUUUUUUUGCUUUUCUUAAUCUCGACCAGCCUAGGAAGAAGAAAACUUGAACCAAAGUAGUUAAUCCAUUGCACAACUCAAUGCAUUUCAACUUGUUCUGUUGCUUCCACCAAAAUCAUGCAGAUAUAAAGAUAAUACAAGAAGGUUAGUUACCUUCCUUUGUGCAGGACAAGAACUCUACCCGCUGCCAUUUUACGGAACCUGUAGCAAGCAAUGCAUUACAUGACAAUGUUGGUUAUUGGGCACAAAAACUGAAGAGAAGCAUUAUUGUACCAAACAUGCCAAGAACUUACUUUACUUCUGUUCAAUGUAGAUUAAAGUGCGUUAAAUAUAGUAUACGGUACUUAUUGGUCUGCUUUGCCAAUGACAAUUGUCUAUGACAGUGAUGUCCUCAAACGACUUGACCCCGUUUGGUUCUCGUUGGGAAAGGGUGAAUCUUGCUAAGCAACACCGACAACGACAAAUGGAGGCGACAACUGGGCUCCGACAACCUCUUGGUGAUAUCACCAAUGUUGAUAGACUCCCCAAAGAGGGUCCAGGUAUAUUUAAUUGAUAAUUGAUUAGUAUUUGGUGAUUGUUAAAUUACUAACCUAAACAAUCCCUUUCGCAAGCUAUUGGAGCUGGCCCACAACCAUCGAGCGGCUUGUUUAUUCAUGAAGCAGAUGUCCCGUCUCCCUCGACCAUAGAACUUCCGAAAGGGAGUCCAGGUAUAACUCAUCAGCAAUAUUUAAAUGCCUUCGAUAUUGGUGAUUACUAAUUUGAACAAUCCCUUUCGCAAGCCGUUGCAUCUGACCCACGACCAUCGAGCAGCCUGAUUAUACAUGAAGCACCAAUCCCCUCUGCGUCAACCAUAGAAAACCAUAAAGGUAGUCCAGGUAUAGCUUCCGAACUCACACCUCCUUCCAAUUUCUAAAUAUAAUGAAGCGGUAAAUUUAAUCCAUCAGAGGGGAUUGUUGCGAAUCAUCUGCUUUGGUAUAUAAUUAAUAUAUCGCAACCUUGAUGGUGCAUGAUUUUAUCCAUAAAUAUUAUUACUGUUCAAAAUCAGAUGCUAACUUGUGUAUACCUACAACAACAGAUGGACCUACGAGGGGCCGUGCUGGCCAACGUAAAGGGACCUUAUCAAAGGAGGAAAGGGAUGUCAUCAACGCACGGAGAAGAGCAACUUAUAAGAAGAAAAAAGAAGAGCAAGGGUACCAAGAACAAAAGGAUAAGUUUAACACAAAGAGACGAGAAUCUUAUCAGAAGAAGAAACAGCAGGAAGACCGACAGCGACAGAUGGAUGCGACAAAUGGCCUCCGACACGCUCUUGGUGAAGACACCAAUGUUAAUAUACACCCCAAAGAGGGUCCAUGUAUAUGGAAUUUGUGUAAUGUUUUUAGUAAUUCACCUUCAAUGUUGUUUCUUACUAAUUAACAAAGUCCCUUUCGCAAGACAACCGAUCUGACCCACAACCAUCAAGCGGACUAUUUAUUCGCGAAGCACCAACCCCAUCGCCCUCAACCAUUGAACUACCCAAAGGGAGUCUAGGUAUAACUCUGAGACAAUCUUUAAAUGCCUUUCAUAUUGAAUUUUUACUAAUUUGAACAAUCCCUUUCGCAAGCCAUUGCAGCUGACCCACAACGAUUGGGAGGCCUGAUUAUACAUGAAACAACAAUCCCCUCUGCGUCAACCAUAGAACUCCCCAUAGGUAGUCCAGGUAUUACUUUCGAACUCACACCUCCUUUGAUUUUCUACAAACAUCGAAACAGAAAUAAGUACAAAGUUGAGUCACUUAUUUUGGGACGGAGGGAGUAUCACUGUUGUACCUCCAGUCAACCAUGAGAGCUUUGAACUUGAUUGUUCUGGUUCGGAUGCUAAUGUGUAUAGACCUACAACAAUAGGUCCAGCUAUAAGGGGCUGUGAGGGCCAACGUAACGGGACAUUAUCAACGGAAAAAAAUGAUGUCAUAAACGCACGGAGACGAGCAACUUAUAAAAAGAAAAUAGAAGAGGAAGGGUACCAAGAACAAAAGGAU